Molecule: ribosomal RNA, 865 nt
Filed under: uncultured Methanosarcinaceae archaeon
Lineage: Archaea; Methanobacteriati; Methanobacteriota; Methanomicrobia; Methanosarcinales; Methanosarcinaceae
Description: bacterial SSU rRNA
Rfam family: Archaeal small subunit ribosomal RNA
Source: RNAcentral
UCACUGCUAUCGGUGUUCGACUAANCCAUGCGAGUCAAAUGUUCUUCGUGAACAUGGCGUACUGCUCANUAACACGUGGAUAACCCGCCCUUAGGUCUGGCAUAACCCCGGGAAACUGGGGAUAAUUCCGGAUAGAUCAUGGAUGCUGGAAUGCACCGUGGUCGAAAGCUUUUGUGCCUAAGGAUGGGUCUGCGGUCUAUCAGGUUGUAGUGGGUGUAACGUACCUACUAGCCUACGACGGAUACGGGUUGUGGGAGCAAGAGCCCGGAGAUGGAUUCUGAGACAUGAAUCCAGGCCCUACGGGGCGCAGCAGGCGCGAAAACUUUACAAUGCGGGAAACCGCGAUAAGGGGACACCGAGUGCCAGCAUCCUAUGUUGGCUGUCCAUAUGUAUAAAUAACAUGUGUUAGCAAGGGCCGGGCAAGACCGGUGCCAGCCGCCGCGGUAACACCGGCGGCCCGAGUGGUGGCCACUAUUAUUGGGUCUAAAGGGUCCGUAGCCGGUUUGGUCAGUCUUCCGGGAAAUCUGACGGCUUAACCGUUAGGCUUUCGGGGGAUACUGCCAGGCUUGGGACCGGGAGGGGUAAGAGGUACUACGGGGGUAGGGGUGAAAUCUUGUAAUCCCUGUGGGACCACCAGUGGCGAAGGCGUCUUACCAGAACGGGUCCGACGGGAGGGACGAAAGCUGGGGGCACGAACCGGAUUAGAUACCCGGGUAGUCCCAGCCGUAAACUAUGCUCGCUAGGUGUCAGGGACGGUGCGACCGUUUCUGGUGCCGUAGGGAAGCCGUGAAGCGAGCCACCUGGGAAGUACGGUCGCAAGGCUGAAACUUAAAGGAAUUGGCGGGGGAGCAUUACAACGGGUGGA